RNA transcript from Phalaenopsis equestris, 3267 nucleotides. It is a transcript of the gene named U-box domain-containing protein 4, with no coding region annotated. Lineage: Eukaryota; Viridiplantae; Streptophyta; Magnoliopsida; Asparagales; Orchidaceae. The record is from RefSeq and is a predicted model, not a curated record. The transcript has 3 exons.
CUUGGGCUUGGUACACGCCUAACUCUAAUCUUGCAAGUAGUGUUGGGGUCUUUCUGCAAUUGCAACGUCGGGGAUAUGUUUCGCUAAACUCACUGCAAAUUACCGAGCUCGGAAAUCUUUUUGAGCAGCCAUGAAUCCACCGGAGAAGAUGGUCGGAGAAGACGCCACCGGUUGGGACGAGAAGGUCCGCCUGUUCUCCGCCGUGAUCGUCUGCAACUGCGAGCGGCGUCAAUCGAGAGCCAUUUACGAGUUCGCUCGACUCUCCAAGCUCGCGCCUGAUUCUGCCCUCAUAGACAUCGUUCCUAUCCUCGUCAAUCUCCUCAGCAGCUUCUAUCCGUCAAUUCAAGAAGCCGCUGCGUUUUCCCUCCGCCGGCUUGCUCGCCGCGCCGGCGCCCCUUUUAGUCCCAUAAUUGGUCAGUACGACGCAAUCUCUAUCAUCCUAGGGCUUCUUCCGGGAUCGAAUGAUCGGAUUCGGAGAUCGUUGCUUCGUCUCCUCAGCGUCCUGGUAGCCUUCGACGGCACUAAUCGCGUAACCCUAGCGAAAAACCGUGGAUUAGAUGUCAUUCUUGAACUGAUCUCUUCUUGCUCCGAUAAUACGAGAAAGCCCUUGCUGGAGAUUCUCAGCGCGAUGGUGAUGCUUAGAGAAGUAAGGAGGGUUGCCAUCAGUUCUGGUGCUUUGAGGUUUUUGAUUGAGGCGAUUUCACUUGGUAGAAUGACUUCAAGAAUACAGGCGGCGCAUGGUAUUGGGCUUCUCGGAAUUUCGAAGAGGGUUCGACACAUGCUUGUAGAUUCUGGAGCUAUUCCGGCUCUUUUGCAACUGUUUCGAGAAGGAGACCAGUCGGCAAAGAUAACCGCUGCUAAUGCGCUUGGUAUAAUCGCUUCUCAUGUAGAUUGUAUCCGGCCUGUAGCUGAAGCUGGUGCUAUUCCGAUGUAUAUGGAGCUUCUUGAGGGCACCGAGCCACUUGGUAGAGAAAUAGCGGAAGAUGUUUUCUGCGUAUUAGCUGUGGUUGAGGAAAAUGCGGUGGUGAUUGCGGAACAAUUGGUGAGGGUUCUCCGUGGCUGUGAUGAAGAGGCUAAGUCAGCUGCUGUGGAUGUGUUCUGGGAUAUUGCUGGGUACAAGCACUCCAUCCCUGUGGUUAGAGAUUCUGGUGCAAUUCCUGUUUUAAUGGAGAUUUUGCAGCAUGGGAGUGCUGAUACUAGGGUGAAGGUUAUGGGGACUAUUUCUCAGUUAGCUUAUGAAGAAGCUAAUAGAACGGCCAUGGCAGAGGCUGGUGGAAUUCCUCUUGUAAUUAAUUUGUUGACUGAUGUUUCGGGGGAGUUGAGGGAUUUGGCAGCAGAAGCUUUGAUGAGUUUUGGAGAAGAUCCAGCAUUCAGAGAGCUGAUAGUUGAGGCUUAUAAUAUCCCAACCUUCGUCGAUGCGUUUGAUAGGCUGAGUGUAGAGCAACUCAGCUCAGAUCCAGAUUUUUCUUGAAUCCGCAAUCGUUUGAUGAGAGCAAAGCUAGUUUUACCGAGCAAGCAACAAACAUAUUACUCCAAACGAUGGUCCACAAUGAGAAAGAUGCUUAUGGAGUAUAUUCUGCUUAUGCUCAUCAUAUUGGAUUCAGUAUUCGUAAGGAGUACGCUACGUUUUGGCCUAACUCCAGAAAUAUCAAGACGAAGGACUUCGUAUGUGGAAAAUCAGGUUUCAAGAAAGAGCUCAAGAUUACAGAAACUGUUAAAUAUAGAAGAGUAGAAACAAGAAUUAGUUGCCGUGCAAUGAUUCAAUACAGAGUUGAUGAGGAAGUCAAUUGGAAAGUUAAAUAUAAUUGAAUCGCAUAACCACUCAUUAGCGAACUCUGUUGACAAACACUUGUUGCGUUCCAACAGAAAGAUAAGUGAAGUAAAUGCAAAUGUGCUUAGAUCCAUGACACAGUCGGGGAUAAGACCAAAAGACGCGUUUAACUUUCUAGCUCAAGAGGUUAGGGUGUAGAGAACCUAGAAUGUACAAAGACAGAUGCUUUCAAUUUCAUUCAAAGAGAAAAGAGAUUUAGAAUUGAAAAUAGUGAUGUCAAUAUUUUAUUGCAGUUGUUUGCAGAGUGACGUGUUGAGGAUAACAUGUUUGAAUGAGAUUUUGAAACUGAUGUGAGCAGCAGCCUGAUGAGUUUUUUUUUUAGCGACGGGACAUCGAGACUUGAUUAUGACUGUUUUGGAGAUGUGAUUAUUUUUUAUACGAGCUAUAAGUUAAAUAAAUAUAACUUAUGUUGUGCUCCUAUUGUUGAUGUUAAUCACAAUUGACAGAAUGUUAUAUUUGGAGUCGGAUUCUUGUCAGAGGAGACAGCGGGAUAGUUUAAAUGAUUUUUUAAAACUUUCAUCCAUAUCAUGAGUGAUAAUCAUUCAAUAACAAUCUACACUGAUCAGGAUCAGACUAUGACCAAAGCAAUAGCAGAGAUUUUGCCAAAUACACGACAUAGAUUAUGUCAAUGACACACAUACAAGAAACUGCCUACAAAGUUUCAUUGCGGGGUGGUGAAUAAGAUAGUCAGUGAUCUUUUUUAUAAAUGCUUGAGCAAAUGCGAGUCCGAAUAGGAAUUUGAUGGUCCAUGGGAGGUGAUGAUUGAGACGUGUAAUCUGCAGGACAAUGUGUGACUAGAUGAUAAGUACAAAAUUAGACAUAAGUGAUCUACAUCUUUUAAUAAAGAUGUAUUUGGAAUGAGAAUUUUAUCUACACAGAGGAGUGAAUCAACCAAUAAGUUCACCUAUAACCACUUUAUAUAUAGGAAAGCAACAAAGUGUUUCUACAAUCAAAGCCCUCGAAUCACCACAAUGUCAUCCACCCAUAUCCUCAAUACCUGAUUUUCUAACACAGAAUUCUUUUGCUUCACAGAACAAUCAUUCCUACACCGCCAUGAUGACGGACUCCCUGAAUAAUACAACAAUGCCUCAAUGGCCAGAAUAUCUGUAAAAGAUGCUGAAAUUCAGACUUGUAAUGCAUAAAUUCAGAUUUUGGCUCCAAUUCAGAACUUCUGUUUUGCAGAAAUUCAGAUUUGUAAUCAUGCAAUUCACAUUUUUGGCUCUAAUGCAGAAAUUCAGAUUUGUAAUCCUGUAAUUCAGAUUUUGGCAUAUCUCCUGUGUUUCAUAUUUAUAAACUUUGCAAUGCAUAUAUCCUGUGUUGCAGAAAUUCAGAUUUUUGUCUUUUGUCCUGUGUUGCAGAAAUUCAGAAAUUCAUGUGUCCCAUUUGUAAACUUUGUAAUGCAUACAUCCUGUGUUGCAGAAAUUGAUGUUUGCCUU